UGGCGGACGGGUGAGUAAUGUCUGGGAAACUGCCCGAUGGAGGGGGAUAACUACUGGAAACGGUAGCUAAUACCGCAUAACGUCGCAAGACCAAAGAGGGGGACCUUCGGGCCUCUUGCCAUCGGAUGUGCCCAGAUGGGAUUAGCUAGUAGGUGGGGUAAAGGCUCACCUAGGCGACGAUCCCUAGCUGGUCUGAGAGGAUGACCAGCCACACUGGAACUGAGACGCGGUCCAG
This 235-nucleotide ribosomal RNA is filed under the name uncultured bacterium. Its description in RNAcentral is "partial 16S ribosomal RNA". It matches the Rfam family "Bacterial small subunit ribosomal RNA", at positions 96 to 334 of the family's 1533-position model. The record is from RNAcentral.